CUACGGGGUGCAGCAGUGAGGAAUAUUGCACAAUGGGGGGAACCCUGAUGCAGCAACGCCGCGUGGAGGAUGACGCAUUUCGGUGUGUAAACUCCCUUUAUAUGUCAAGAAAAUGACGGUAGCAUAUGAAUAAGCACCGGCUAACUCCGUGCCAGCAGCCGCGGUAAUACGGAGGGUGCAAGCGUUACUCGGAAUCACUGGGCGUAAAGGACGCGUAGGCGGGUUGGAAAGUCAGGUGUGAAAUCCUACAGCUUAACUGUAGAACUGCACUUGAAACUUCUAAUCUAGAGUAUGGGAGGGGGUGAUGGAAUUAGUGGUGUAGGGGUAAAAUCCGUAGAUAUCACUAGGAAUACCUAAAGCGAAGGCGAUCUCCUGGAACAUUACUGACGCUAAGGCGUGAAAGCGUGGGGAGCAAACAGGAUUAGAUACCCCUGUACUC
Molecule: ribosomal RNA, 439 nt
Filed under: uncultured bacterium
Lineage: Bacteria
Description: partial 16S ribosomal RNA
Rfam family: Bacterial small subunit ribosomal RNA
Source: RNAcentral